Long non-coding RNA from Olea europaea var. sylvestris, 1239 nucleotides. RefSeq lists it as uncharacterized. The transcript has 2 exons. The record is from RefSeq and is a predicted model, not a curated record. NCBI's taxonomy places the organism in Eukaryota, Viridiplantae, Streptophyta, Magnoliopsida, Lamiales, Oleaceae.
GUUGAAUUGAAUUUUAGAGAAUUCUCUCUAUCUUUUGGGCAUUUUUUCUUUGUAUUCCUCCUGUGAUAUAUCUAUUAUAGCUAGCUUGCAGGAUAAUCGUUGUUAAGCCCGACAUCUGUAACCUAAUUGUUAUCGCACCAUUAAUUGUGUUCUCCAAAACUUCAUCUAAUUCAAAAAAAUUCUUAUGAAAAACGAUCAUCAGAAGAAUGUGGAAGAUGAUUUGAAUGUAUUUCUCAUAAUUCGAUAAGAAUCAAUUCCUCUCCUAUUAUACAUUAUAUGUUAUACGAAUUCGAUGACUGCUCCAUUUUCCGAAAUUGGGGAUUUAAGAUUGUUCUCAAGAAAUUCAUAUUGAACACCAUUUUUUUUCCCUAUCUCUUGAGAUUAUUUCUGGCGUCUUCCUCCAAUUAAGGUUUCUUUUAUGAGCUUUUGGGGGCGUUAAAAUGAAUUCACGUUACAAUUACGGCUUAAUUCAAGAUUUUUUUCAACUACUUUCCUUUUCCUUUCACAUCAGUUUUAAGUGAAUAAACGAAGGAUGAGACAAGCAGACGGAGUUGAGCCGGUGGCCUUAGAAACCUAAUUGCAGAAUGCCCGUUCAGUUUUCUGGCCGAUGUGGUGAGAUGAUAUGUUGAUAGUGGGACAAGAUGUUAAGCUUAUUCGCAGUUUGAAGGUAGAUUUGUUCAAGUCAUUUGACAUAAAGGAUCUUGGAAUUUGGGGAUGCAUAUUCAUCGUAAUAGAAAAGCUGAAAAGUUAUGAUUACCACAGGAGAAAUAUGUAGAAAGAGUCUUGAUAAGGUUUAACAUGAAGAAUGCAAGACCAGUUGGGACAACACUUGGUAGUCACUUCAAAUUGAGUAAGUGCUUGUCUGGGAACGAUUGUGGUGGGAAAAAAUUUGAUUUUGAUGUCAAGUCACGGCCCCCACCAUGUUUAAAUUAAAUUUGCAUCCUUGCCAGCUUCAUUAUAGUGGAAAACUUCAACAACCCCGAAAAGUAAAAGUCACCACUAUUGCAUCUGGAAUGAAUGAAAACAAGGGCAAACUUGGUAAUUGAUCAACGAUGAAUUAUGGACUCUGCAAUUGUGUGAAAAGGAGUCUGGUUUUUGUUGGAAUAACGAAUUUAUACUUGACUACCAACGGUCAGAUUUUUCCUAUUAUUUUAAAUUUAAUUGUUCCCAAACAUGGGCUAAGCUUAUUUGUCCUUCUAAGAAGGCAGAUAAAUAAAGAAUGAUGUUAAUUCCCUACUC